Molecule: ribosomal RNA, 575 nt
Filed under: uncultured Gram-positive bacterium
Lineage: Bacteria
Description: bacterial SSU rRNA
Rfam family: Bacterial small subunit ribosomal RNA
Source: RNAcentral
GUAGGGGGCGAGCGUUGUCCGGAUUUAUUGGGCGUAAAGAGCUCGUAGGCGGUUGGGCAAGUCGGUCGGGAAAGUUCAGGGCUCAACCCUGAAAUGUCGAUCGAUACUGGUGUGACUAGGAUACGGUAGAGGUGAGUGGAAUUCCGAGUGUAGCGGUGAAAUGCAUAGAUAUUCGGAGGAACACCAAUUGCGAAGGCAGCUCACUGGGCCGCUAUCGACGCUGAGGAGCGAAAGCUAGGGGAGCAAACAGGAUUAGAUACCCUGGUAGUCCUAGCUGUAAACGAUGGAUACUAGACGUAGGAAUUGGAUUAACGAUUUCUGUGUCGUAGCUAACGCGUUAAGUAUCCCGCCUGGGGAGUACGGUCGCAAGACUAAAACUCAAAGGAAUUGACGGGACCCCGCACAAGCGGCGGAGCAUGCGGCUUAAUUCGAUGAUACCCGUAGAACCUUACCUGGACUUGACAUAUAGGGAAAAGUUAUAGAAAUAUAAUGUGCAUUAGCGCCCUAUACAGGUGGUGCAUGGCUGUCGUCAGCUCGUGUCGUGAGAUGUUGGGUUAAGUCCCGCAACGAGCGCA